This 513-nucleotide ribosomal RNA is filed under the name uncultured bacterium. RNAcentral's name for it is "partial 16S ribosomal RNA". It matches the Rfam family "Bacterial small subunit ribosomal RNA", at positions 28 to 507 of the family's 1533-position model. The record is from RNAcentral.
GACGAACGCUGGCGGCGUGCUUAACACAUGCAAGUCGAACGAAAAGAGGGAAAGAGCUUGCUCUUUCCGGAAUUGAGUGGCAAACGGGUGAGUAACACGUAAACAACCUGCCUUCAGGAUGGGGACAACAGACGGAAACGACUGCUAAUACCGAAUAAGUUCCAAGGGCCGCAUGGCCCAUGGAAGAAAAGGUGGCCUCUACCUGUAAGCUAUCGCCUGAAGAGGGGUUUGCGUCUGAUUAGCUGGUUGGAGGGGUAACGGCCCACCAAGGCGACGAUCAGUAGCCGGUCUGGAGGGAUGAACGGCCACACUGGAACUGGGACACGGUCCAGACUCCUACGGGAGGCAGCAGUGGGGAAUCUUCCGCAAUGGGCGAAAGCCUGACGGAGCAACGCCGCGUGAGGGAUGACGGCCUUCGGGUUGUAAAACUCUGUGAUCCGGGACGAAAAGGCAGAGUGCGAAGAACAAACUGCAUUGACGGUACCGGAAAAGCAAGCCACGGCUAACUACGUG